GACAGAGGGUGCAAACGUUGUUCGGAAUUACUGGGCGUAAAGCGCGUGUAGGCGGCCUUGCAAGUCGGGUGUGAAAUCCCAUGGCUCAACCAUGGAAGUGCACUCGAAACUGCAAGGCUAGAGUCCUGGAGAGGAAGGUGGAAUGCUUGGUGUAGAGGUGAAAUUCGUAGAUAUCAAGCGGAACACCGGUGGCGAAGGCGGCCUUCUGGACAGUGACUGACGCUGAGACGCGAAAGCGUGGGGAGCAAACAGG
RNAcentral lists this ribosomal RNA (253 nucleotides) under uncultured bacterium. RNAcentral describes it as "partial 16S ribosomal RNA". It matches the Rfam family "Bacterial small subunit ribosomal RNA", at positions 524 to 776 of the family's 1533-position model. The record is from RNAcentral.